This 463-nucleotide ribosomal RNA is filed under the name uncultured bacterium. RNAcentral's name for it is "partial 16S ribosomal RNA". It matches the Rfam family "Bacterial small subunit ribosomal RNA", at positions 28 to 507 of the family's 1533-position model. The record is from RNAcentral.
GAUGAACGCUGACAGAAUGCUUAACACAUGCAAGUCUUUGGCGAAGCUGUGCUUGCACAGCCUAGCCAAGGCGGACGGGUGAGUAACGCGUAAGGAACUUGCCCUGCAGUCAGGGAUAACAGACGGAAACGACUGAUAAGACCUGGUAAAGUCAGGCGGACUCAUGUCCAGCCUGAUGAAAAGAGAUGCUGCAGGAGAGCCUUGCGUCCUAUUAGCUUGUUGGUGGGGUAACGGCCCACCAAGGCGAUGAUAGGUAGCCGGCCUGAGAGGGUGGACGGCCACAAGGGGACUGUGAUACGGCCCUUACUCCUACGGGAGGCAGCAGUGGGGAAUAUUGGACAAUGGGGGCAACCCUGAUCCAGCAAUUCUGUGUGCACGAUGAAGGUUUUCGGAUUGUAAAGUGCUUUCAGCAGGGAAGAAAAAAAUGACGGUACCUGCAGAAGAAGCGACGGCUAAAUACGUG